This 274-nucleotide ribosomal RNA is filed under the name uncultured bacterium. RNAcentral describes it as "partial 16S ribosomal RNA". It matches the Rfam family "Bacterial small subunit ribosomal RNA", at positions 523 to 796 of the family's 1533-position model. The record is from RNAcentral.
AUACGGAGGGUGCAAGCGUUAAUCGGAAUUACUGGGCGUAAAGAGUACGUAGGUGGUUUGUUAAGUCAGAUGUGAAAGCCCCGGGCUCAACCUGGGAACUGCAUUUGAAACUGGCAAACUAGAGUAUGGUAGAGGGGGGUAGAAUUUCUAGUGUAGCAGUGAAAUGCGUAGAUAUUAGAAGGAAUACCAGUGGCGAAGGCGGCCCCCUGGACCAAUACUGACACUGAGGUACGAAAGCGUGGGUAGCGAACAGGAUUAGAAACCCUAGUAGUCC